Cimex lectularius (bed bug) is the source of this 1945-nucleotide RNA transcript. It is a transcript of the gene named zinc finger protein 184-like, with no coding region annotated. NCBI's taxonomy places the organism in Eukaryota, Metazoa, Arthropoda, Insecta, Hemiptera, Cimicidae. The transcript has 9 exons. The record is from RefSeq and is a predicted model, not a curated record.
CACUUGUUGUAGCUCAUUUUUUCCCAUUUAAAAUCGCCACUUUUGUGAAACAAACUGUCAAAUAAUAUUAUUCGACUUGAUACGCAUACGUUUGAUCGAUAAAUUCGCUUUUCUAACGUAUUCGAUCUUUUAUAAUUUGACCUGUAAAAUUUGAAUAUCUUCACCAUUGCAUUUUACCAUUUCCUUCGCCUUGUCCAUUUUACUCUUCUCUGUAGUAGGAAGGGAGGAUCUGAGGAAACGGAGUUUCUAAUCUAACUAUUAACUAACAGCUAAAACACCUGGAGAAAGAUGGCGACUAAUAUAUUUGAAGAUGUUAGCGAAGACUUUACAUGGACAAACGUUAAAGAUGAGCCAAUUCUAGACAUAGACUUUAAUGUCAUGAAUAUUAUAGUUGCAGACGUAGAAGAAUGGCUGACAAAAUUAGAGCCGGAUGAUGAGCAAGCAAUAUCAAACCUUUUCUCCGGAGAUAUAUUUCAAAUAGAUGAUGACCAAGAAAAUGAACUGGAACUCGACCUUUCAACAAGUUCAGAGCUACUCAGUGAUGUUACUUCAAACCAGGCAUUAUUUGAACCAUUAAACUUCGGAAAUCCUAUGAGCUCUCAGGAAAUGAAAAUGGAAAUACCAGAAGAAAUCGGAUUGGAUACCAGAGACCAAAAAUGGACCGUGAAAGCAGAACCGACAUUAUUGGCUGUUAACGACGAACAAAUAAAACCAAAACCAACAACUUCAAAAAGAAGAAGGCAAACUAAAACUACAAAAAACCCAGUUGAGACAAGUGUCAAAGGCAAAGGAGUACGUAAACAUCGCAUCAGAGUGCAAAGGACGUUUAGAAAGAACCGCAAGAUUAGUGAAAGUACAAUAAAGAGCAAUACAACUGUGACAUCUGCUCCUAUUCGUGCACAGUGCAAGCGUCAAUUUUCCACCAUGUUAAACAACACUGGAACCAAGGAGACAACGUUCCAAAAUUCUCCUGUGAAAUAUGCGGAAAGGACGAAUAUAUUAAAGAGCACUUAUUAGUCCAUAAAUCAGACCAUAUAGACGGCAACCAAUACUGUUGCGAUCUAUGCGACUUCCGCACAGUCCAAUUAAAAAAGUUGAUUCAACACAGACGCAAACAUACUGGAGAAAGGCCACACAGGUGCCCGUUUUGUUCGUACAAAUCUUCCAGACGAGACAAUCUACAUUCACAUACACGGCGCGUACAUAACAUCCCAAAAAUAAGCAUCGACACAUUCACACCACCACACAUCAUUUAUCCUACACCAAGUCAAGUGUGAAACAAUUUUAAAACAAAUUUGUAAAUAAAUAUAAUUCUAUUAAUUCCACAUGUUCUUAUUUUUAAUAUGAAAUUUACAAUUAAAAAUUAACAUUACGGCAAAUAUUGUUUGGACGUUAUGUUAACUUUUAAAUCUUUUACACUUAAAAUAAUCUUUUAUACAACCUAUGUUUAUAACUAUCACUUUCAGUUAUCUGAGAGGAGUAAUGUAAACAAUAAAUAUUAUUAUAAAACAUUUUUUGUAUUUUUAUUUACUGGAACAUUAUGUAGCAGUAUACACAAGAUGUGAAAAUAAUAAAUGAAUGUCUUGUUUUUCAAAUGAAGUUAAUUUUUCUUUUACCGUUAUAUAUGCAUUUUUCAAAAUAAAAAGCAACUCACAUGUACACAUAAUUUUGCUUAUUGUUAGGGUCAGCGAAACGCUGUGUGUAAACAACUCGAAAGGCACAAUAGCACUUACAAGUAUAUUAAACAUUGUUUUUGUUACAUCAAAAUCUGUCGUAAUUCAUUCCAAAUAAGAGCCUUUUGUUAUUUCAGCUUCAACCUGCUAACCACUUUAAUAUCCUUCUCUGAAUAUGUCAAUUGCAUCUAGAUACAUAUUACCUCCAGUAAAGAACAAACAUAAUGAACAAUUAAUUAGUUGGUUUUUUGGGAACACUAAUAAAUAAAAAA